CCUACGGGGGCAGCAGUGGGGAAUAUUGGACAAUGGGGGCAACCCUGAUCCAGCCAUGCCGCGUGUGUGAAGAAGGCCCUCGGGUUGUAAAGCACUUUCAGUGAGGAAGAACGCCUGGUGGUUAAUACCCAUCAGGAAAGACAUCACUCACAGAAGAAGCACCGGCUAACUCCGUGCCAGCAGCCGCGGUAAUACGGAGGGUGCGAGCGUUAAUCGGAAUUACUGGGCGUAAAGCGCGCGUAGGUGGCUUGAUAAGCCGGUUGUGAAAGCCCCGGGCUCAACCUGGGAACGGCAUCCGGAACUGUCAAGCUAGAGUGCAGGAGAGGAAGGUAGAAUUCCCGGUGUAGCGGUGAAAUGCGUAGAGAUCGGGAGGAAUACCAGUGGCGAAGGCGGCCUUCUGGACUGACACUGACACUGAGGUGCGAAAGCGUGGGUAGCAAACAGGAUUAGAUACCCCUGUAGUC
This 464-nucleotide ribosomal RNA is filed under the name Vreelandella stevensii. Its description in RNAcentral is "partial 16S ribosomal RNA". It matches the Rfam family "Bacterial small subunit ribosomal RNA", at positions 338 to 795 of the family's 1533-position model. Lineage: Bacteria; Pseudomonadati; Pseudomonadota; Gammaproteobacteria; Oceanospirillales; Halomonadaceae. The record is from RNAcentral.